Molecule: ribosomal RNA, 520 nt
Filed under: uncultured Glomus
Lineage: Eukaryota; Fungi; Glomeromycota; Glomeromycetes; Glomerales; Glomeraceae
Description: SSU rRNA
Rfam family: Eukaryotic small subunit ribosomal RNA
Source: RNAcentral
CCAAUAGCGUAUAUUAAAGUUGUUGCAGUUAAAAAGCUCGUAGUUGAAUUUCGAGAUCAAAUUGUUGGUCGUGCCUCGGUACGUACUGGCAUUAUUGAUUUCUCCUUCUGACGAACCACGAUGUCAUUAAUUUGGUGUCGCGGGAAAUCAGGACUGUUACUUUGAAAAAAUUAGAGUGUUUAAAGCAGGCUCGCGCUUGAAUACAUUAGCAUGGAAUAAUGAAAUAGGACGUUUGAUUCUAUUUUGUUGGUUUCUAGGAUCGACGUAAUGAUUAAUAGGGAUAGUUGGGGGCAUUAGUAUUCAAUUGUCAGAGGUGAAAUUCUUGGAUUUAUUGAAGACUAACUACUGCGAAAGCAUUUGCCAAGGAUGUUUUCAUUAAUCAAGAACGAAAGUUAGGGGAUCGAAGACGAUCAGAUACCGUCGUAGUCUUAACCAUAAACUAUGCCGACUAGGGAUCGGAUGAUGUUAAUUUUUUAAUGACUCAUUCGGCGCCUUACGGGAAACCAAAGUGUUUGGNUUC